AGAGUUUGAUCCUGGCUCAGGAUGAACGCUGGCGGCGUGCUUAACACAUGCAAGUCGAACGAACCUUCGGGUUAGUGGCGGACGGGUGAGUAACGCGUGGGAAUCUGCCCUCAGGAGGGGGAUAACGGUUGGAAACGACCGCUAAUACCCCAUAUGCCGAGAGGUGAAAUGAAUUUCGCCUGAGGAUGAGCCCGCGUCUGAUUAGCUAGUUGGUGUGGUAAUGGCUCACCAAGGCUUCGAUCAGUAGCUGGUCUGAGAGGAUGAUCAGCCACACUGGGACUGAGACACGGCCCAGACUCCUACGGGAGGCAGCAGUGGGGAAUUUUCCGCAAUGGGCGAAAGCCUGACGGAGCAACGCCGCGUGAGGGAUGAAGGCCUCUGGGCUGUAAACCUCUUUUCUCAAGGAAGAAGAUCUGACGGUACUUGAGGAAUAAGCCACGGCUAAUUCCGUGCCAGCAGCCGCGGUAAUACGGGAGUGGCAAGCGUUAUCCGGAAUUAUUGGGCGUAAAGCGUCCGCAGGCGGCCUUUCAAGUCUGCUGUUAAAAAGUGGAGCUUAACUCCAUCAUGGCAGUGGAAACUGUUGGGCUUGAGUGUGGUAGGGGCAGAGGGAAUUCCCGGUGUAGCGGUGAAAUGCGUAGAUAUCGGGAAGAACACCAGUGGCGAAGGCGCUCUGCUGGGCCAUAACUGACGCUCAUGGACGAAAGCCAGGGGAGCGAAAGGGAUUAGAUACCCCUGUAGUCCUGGCCGUAAACGAUGAACACUAGGUGUCGGGGGAAUCGACCCCCUCGGUGUCGUAGCCAACGCGUUAAGUGUUCCGCCUGGGGAGUACGCACGCAAGUGUGAAACUCAAAGGAAUUGACGGGGGCCCGCACAAGCGGUGGAGUAUGUGGUUUAAUUCGAUGCAACGCGAAGAACCUUACCAGGAUUUGACAUCCUGCGAAUCUCUUGGAAACGAGAGAGUGCCUUCGGGAACGCAGUGACAGGUGGUGCAUGGCUGUCGUCAGCUCGUGUCGUGAGAUGUUGGGUUAAGUCCCGCAACGAGCGCAACCCACGUUUUUAGUUGCCAGCAUUUAGUUGGGCACUCUAGAGAGACCGCCGGUGAUAAACCGGAGGAAGGUGUGGAUGACGUCAAGUCAUCAUGCCCCUUACAUCCUGGGCUACACACGUACUACAAUGCUACGGACAAAGGGCAGCGAACUCGCGAGGGCAAGCAAAUCCCAUAAACCGUGGCUCAGUUCAGAUCGUAGGCUGCAACUCGCCUACGUGAAGGAGGAAUCGCUAGUAAUCGCAGGUCAGCAUACUGCGGUGAAUACGUUCCCGGGCCUUGUACACACCGCCCGUCACACCAUGGAAGUUGGCCACGCCCGAAGUCGUUACUCCAACCCUUGUGGAGGAGGACGCCGAAGGUGGGGCUGAUGACUGGGGUGAAGUCGUAACAAGGUA
Molecule: ribosomal RNA, 1443 nt
Filed under: marine metagenome
Description: bacterial SSU rRNA
Rfam family: Bacterial small subunit ribosomal RNA
Source: RNAcentral